AAUGAACGCUGGCGGCAUGCCUAACACAUGCAAGUCGAACGAAAACACGAGGAGCUUGUGCCCCUGAGGGUGGCGGGUGACGGAUGAGUGACACAUGGAUAGCAUACCUCUCUGACGGGGGUGACAACGGGGGACAACAUCUAAUACCGGAGAAUAUAUCGAACCGGAUAGAGCAAGAGUUCAAGACGCUUUUGCUGACAGUAAGAGCCGAUGCCGGGUCGGAUUAGCUGGUUGGUAAGGUAACGGCUUACCAAGGCUACGAUGCUUAGCCGAUCUGAGAGGGUGAUCGGCCACCCUGGAACUGAGACACGGUCCAGACUCCUACGGGAGGCAGCAGUAGGGAAUCUUCCGCAAUGGGCGAAAGCUUGACGGAGCAACGCCGCGUGAGUGAUGAAGGUCUUCGGAUCGUAAAGCUCUGUUGUUAGGAAAGAACAAAAGCGUGUUUAACCACGCCCGUCUUGACGGUACCCAAAGAGUAAGCCCCGGCUAACUACGUG
Molecule: ribosomal RNA, 497 nt
Filed under: uncultured bacterium
Lineage: Bacteria
Description: partial 16S ribosomal RNA
Rfam family: Bacterial small subunit ribosomal RNA
Source: RNAcentral